UGCUCUUGGGUGGGGUUGCAUUUUUUUGCAAAUGUGUUUGGCUUAAGAAUUUUUUAUGGGAUGAUGUUUUAAAAGCCGAUUCUUGUGUUGGCAGUGGAUAUCUUAAUUUUCUUCCUCUAUUACCCUUCCCCUAAAACAAAAGCCAGUCAAUUCUUUACCCACAUCCUCUAUCUGUACAUUUGAAGGCCUUCAAAUCCCUUUUUUAACUACCUAAUUGUUCUUUCUAUUAUUGAUUGAUUUGUUGCUCUGCUGUGAAAGUUCUUACUUUCUUUGAUGUUGUUCUCCUCUUAUGCGGGUCUUGAAUCUACAAUGCAACACAAGAGACACUUGUGGGUUGGUGGGCAAUCUCCUCGAUACUUAAGUUAGUGUGAGAACUGAUAAAGAAUCAGUGGAAUUAAGUUGAGAUAUGUGUACCUGGUAACCCUUUAUAUGGGCUUUGGAUUUG
This 445-nucleotide unclassified non-coding RNA is filed under the name Hevea brasiliensis (rubber tree). The record is from RNAcentral. Lineage: Eukaryota; Viridiplantae; Streptophyta; Magnoliopsida; Malpighiales; Euphorbiaceae.